UUUAAAUCAUAAUAAAAAAUGUAAUUUUUUUAAAACAAAACGGGCUAACUUCAAAUUAAUUGAAAUAGGCCCAAACCAAAGAAAAUGGGUUAUACCUUACUGGGCUCGAAUUAGCCCAACCCGUCGACCUGCAGAAGCCCAAAUCUGUUACACCCGGCCUGCCUCCUGAGAUCCACAAAGCAGAGUUCAAAACGCACCGUUUGGUGCCUGUGGGGCUGCUCAAAACGACGUCGUUUGGGCCUAGACCUUCCAACUUCUGUCACUCCACUAAAACGACACCGUUUUGCUCUCCUUCCUCUGGGUAUAAAAACCCUUUUUAGCUUUUUUUAUUCAUUUUCAAAUUUCUUUUUCUCUCUCUAGCUGGCCAUUCUCUGUCUUCUCUCUAAAACCUUCUUUCCUCUCUUUGCCGACGUUCUUUCUUCUCUCUCUGGUCGACCUCUCUCCGAACACCUACUCGUCGACCUCUCUCUCUUCUCUCUAAUCGUCGGCCUUUCUCUAAACACCUACUUUCUACCCACCGGCCACCGCAAAAACUCUUUUCGUUUCACUUCUUCCCUUCUUCAACUUUCAGCCGGUAGCCUCCCUUGACGCCGAUCUCCCUGUCGAUUCUCCCCUACCCAAAAUACUUUUUUCUACCCUUAAACUCUCAUUUCCCUCAUUUUUCAGAUCUCACUAGUUUUCUUUUUUGAUUUUUUCUUUGUGUUUGUUUUGAUUUUUUUGUAUUUCUUUGCUUGUGGCUAGGUAGCUUUCGGUGGUAGCUUUUUGAUCUGUGUUUU
Molecule: long non-coding RNA, 776 nt
Filed under: Theobroma cacao (cacao)
Lineage: Eukaryota; Viridiplantae; Streptophyta; Magnoliopsida; Malvales; Malvaceae
Description: long non-coding RNA (TCAC_LNC002101)
Source: RNAcentral